This 374-nucleotide ribosomal RNA is filed under the name uncultured bacterium. RNAcentral's name for it is "bacterial SSU rRNA". It matches the Rfam family "Bacterial small subunit ribosomal RNA", at positions 790 to 1167 of the family's 1533-position model. The record is from RNAcentral.
GUAGUCCACGCCGUAAACGAUGAGUGCUAGGUGUCGGGGGGUUCUACCCUCGGUGCCGAAGGUAACCCAUUAAGCACUCCGCCUGGGGAGUACGGCCGCAAGGCUGAAACUCAAAGGAAUUGACGGGGGCCCGCACAAGCGGUGGAGCAUGUGGUUUAAUUCGAAGCAACGCGAAGAACCUUACCAGGGCUUGACAUCCCGCUGACCGCUCCAGAGAUGGAGCUUCCCUUCGGGGCAGCGGUGACAGGUGGUGCAUGGUUGUCGUCAGCUCGUGUCGUGAGAUGUUGGGUUCAGUCCCGCAACGAGCGCAACCCUUAUCGCUAGUUGCCAGCAUUCAGUUGGGCACUCUAGCGAGACAGCCGGUGAAAGCCGGA